Syngnathus typhle (broad-nosed pipefish) is the source of this 11082-nucleotide RNA transcript. It is a transcript of the gene named regulator of microtubule dynamics protein 2, with no coding region annotated. The record is from RefSeq and is a predicted model, not a curated record. The transcript is spliced from 13 exons. NCBI's taxonomy places the organism in Eukaryota, Metazoa, Chordata, Actinopteri, Syngnathiformes, Syngnathidae.
ACGGACUCUUUUCUUUGAAGCACAUGGUACCUUGACAGACUGCUUCUAAACAAUCUUCGGCAACCACGUCAACAAUAAUGUAGACAUUUGAUUUGUAUUUGGAAAAAAUAUGUUAUGCGUUGAAAUAUCCAAUGCUGCGUGUUCAAAAGAGUGUUACGGUAUUUUUAUACAACUGAACUGAAUCGAAGCUAACAGCAACACGACUUGAUUGCAAUAACGCAGUUUUCAGGAUGGCCCAAACAGACAGCAAAGUCCUGUUUCUGGGAGCUUUGGCUGGGGUGGCUGGCAUCGGCUUGGCUGUGGCAUGUUACCAGGGCUAUAAAAUGAAACGAAGGGCCUCAUUGCCAGCGCACUACGUACACACUAAUAAUGAACUUGUACCUGGCAUGACGUUUAUGAAUAGUCCCGGUCUACCCGGGGACCAGAUUGAGGUACUGGACCGCCUCGAGGCCCUACUACAAUGUGUGUCAGAGCUGAAAGACGAAAUGAAGGCAUUGAAGAAUGCCUUACCGAUGCGGCACGGUCAAGUUGGCGAAGACCUGAGUGCACCUCAUAGGUCAGAUGCACAUCGAGCUGCUCCUCUUCACAGGAUCACACCAACACGGAGGAAAAGGGCUGGAGGCAGCAUCACUGGGGCCAUAGGAGGUGGGCGAAGUUCUGAAGAAGCGGAAAGUGAGGGAGGGUACAUAACCGCACUGACUGACUCGGAUGAAGAGGAACAAAGUGAUGAUGAACAAUGGGAUGAAAGGGAGGAGACAACAGACAGGUUAACUAGCUUACUUGAGAGGAUUGACUCUUUGCAUCAGGGCACAGAGGCUGACAAAAGAGAAAGUCUUCACAUCCUAUCAACUCAACGAGACGAGUUUGGACAGAGCUCCGAAUUUCUUUGGCGACUGAUCAGAGCGUAUAGCGACGUUCAUGACCUCAGCGCCACGCUUGAAGAAAAGAAGAAUCAUGCAGAAACUGGAAAGAAGGUCGGUGAGGAUGCGGUGGCGCUGAACCCCACAUGUGCUGAAAGCCACCAGUGGUAUGCCAUUAUGUGCGGAAUUAUGGCGGAAUAUGACACCGUCCAGAACAAGAUCAAGAAUGGCUACAUUUUUAAGGAUCAUCUGGAUAAAGCCAUCCAGCUGAAGCCUCAAGACCCCCUGUCUUACUACCUGCUGGGCCGCUGGUGCUAUGCCGUAGCCCAGUUAUCUUGGCUUGAGAGGAAAGUUGCCACUGCAUUAUUUGGAGAACCUCCCAGCGCCACCGUUGAAGAUGCACUGAAGAAUUUUCUGAAGGUUGAAGAUAUCCAUCCAAGAUAUUCCAAACUCAACUAUGUAUUUCUUGCAAAGUGCUACAGAGACAUUGGGUACAGGAAGAAGGCAAGGGAGAUGUGUGAGGCUGCUGCGUCAAUGCAGUCGCUUUCAAAGGAGGAUGAAGACGCACAGAAAGAGCUUGAACUUCUCCGCCCGGAUCUUGGACUGUUAGACCCGAAUGAUGAAUCGGACCUGUAGCUUCUGCUCCUUCUAGGCAACUUGUGUGUGCAGUGAGUACACUGAGACAAUAAGCGUUCUCUCAAUGAGAGGCAAGUUGUUGAGUUCCAUCGUCACUGGGAGCAAAUUGGUUCAUUUGAGGCAAUGUUGACUUGAAGAUGAACAUUAGUUUAUUGUUAUGGUUGGUGUGGCUGGGUUCUGGUCCAUUCCCAGCGCUCCUUCAGAAAGCGAAUUUUGUUGUUGGAGUUGUGGGCACUGCUCAGAUGAUGACAAUUCCUGUUUUUGCUGAUAGUUGGCUCUAUUUUUCUGCACUCAACUCGUCGCACCUACCUGACAUGAUUUAUUCGCUCCAAUACGCAAUGAUCACACUGUUGUUUUAUGAACACAUUGAUUGAAGUGAAAGUCCUCAACAUCAAAUAGAACAAAAGCACAGUUGAAGUAGAAAUAGAGAAAUGUCACGUCAUGGAACACAUUGGAAGGGAGAAACUUACUGCAUUCUACCAAAGUGUGAGUUGUACUUUUUAUCAUUUAUUUUUAUGGAUGUGUUGGUCGGUCAAACUGUGUCCCAACAUGAAAGCACUACGUAAGCUUUUUUAUUUUUAGAUAAAAUAUAGACUAUUUGGUAACCGAAAAAAACUUGUUAAAUUUGAAUAAAUGGAUGUUAACAUACUUACUGCGUUUUAAUUUUCAUUGGUAAGUCCGAGUCCCAUCACUUGUGAGCUCUUUUUAGAACAGACACAUGGGCUACGUUUGUUGUCCUUGGGGCUAAUAAAUACACACUGGCACCAUUUUUUUUUUUUAUUUAUCACAAUGUACAUUAAUCUACAGCACAAAAAGGCACCUAUGUUUGCGGUAUCUUUUUUUUUUUUUUAUCCAGACAAACAGUAAUUCACAAGGUGGUGGGGAAAUGCGUUUAUAUGAUCCAUGCAGUUAAAUGGAGCCAUUAGCAGCAGGUUUGGUAAUAUUUAGUCUUUGGAGCAGAAACCUUGGAUGUGUGACCCAGAAAAAUUUAAUGUCGUUUUGACUGAAUAAUAAAUUAUGAGUGUUGGGGCUUUGAUUUUAUAGUUGUUUUAAUCAUUCCUUAUUGCUUAGACAACUGUUCUCAAAAUGUAGACCUGAUGCAGGUCAGACAUAUGUUUAUUUCAUUCUCCAUCUUUGCGUUGUGUGUCUAAAAUCAUUUUAAAAAGUGCUUUUGUAAAGGAAAAAUAAUAAUAAUUUGUCGCUUUACACAGGUACUUGUACUGGCAAGAUGAUGUUGCAUGUAUGUGAUUUUGUUCUAUUCUACGCCAAAGCAAUUCUGUUAUUUGUUGAGACUUGUGUGAACUGAAUCAUGGAUGAAUGUGUAAUUAAAUCUGGGAAACCGAUGAGAGUAUUUCAAUCCAUUUGUGUGCCUCUAUUGGACCUUGUUAAAUUCUGUAAUGAUUUUUAUUAUGCACUUCAAGACGUGGAUUAUCGAUAUCCCCCUCCCCAUCUGUUUCAACCAUAUUGCCUGCAUCUUUACUCACGUUGCUGACUUUUUGUUCAUGCAUUUUCCUUCCAAAUGAAUUUAAAUGACAUGUAGGAUACUGUUAUGAAAAUGUUUUCCUCUUCCUUCUGCAUGCAUCACUGAAGAGGCCUGCAGAAUUCGAUGAAAUGCAUUCUCAGGAAAACUGAGGACAGGUAGUCUGCGGGUGCGAUUGCUCGCCUCUAAUCUUGAUUUUGGUACAUGCGGGUCUUAAGGAAUGAACUUUUUGGUUGCAUAACAGUGUGUCAUAUUUUGCCAGUGUUCUGUCUUCUCUAGUUGAAAUUCCUGAGGAAGGAUGAAUUGAAUCUUUUAAUUAUUUGAAAUCACCUCUACUUUCAUGUUACCUUUGUGUUUUGAAUAGCCUCUCACGCGACAUAGCCCUGCACUUAAGUUUCUACUGUUCUCCGCCCUUCAAAACAUUUGUGGAAUUCCCUGUUUGUUUUCUUCAUGUCUCAGCUGAUUUACUGGCACAAUUUCAAUGUGGAUGUGACUUGCGCAAGUGCUUGUCAAUUGUGGAAAAGUAAACAUCCGCAAUAGUAAAUAAUAUUUCUGGAGAGUUGGUAGUUUUGUUUCGGAAAGAAAAUAAUGCCCAUACAGAAAAGGGAGGUCUACUUUUAAAAUACACCUUGCCAUUUAUUUUAUUUUUUUUCCAGUUGUGUGACUCCAACCAUGACCUUGCAGUUUCAGGUUCUACGAUGGUGAAAGUUGAAAAUCGAUUCUAGCCUUUCUAAAUUCUUUGCACUGACGCAGUUAGGAAAGCUUAUCUGUGUGAGGUACUUUGCAUAUUAGAGUGGAAUUCUACAAACGUUCCUCCCUUGCGCUCUUUAUCUUGACAUCAAUUUCUCAGUUGGCAACUCUGCACGUUUAACUUUGGGUGUUUUCAUUCGUAACAUUAUAGUUUGCAAUCUGUACCAACCGGGUCUUCAUCUUGAACGUGCCAGUGAUAAAAGAAGCAAGUCGUCAACUUUAUCAGUAAUCAUCUACUGUACUUUUAUCACACUUUGUUAUGCACUCUGCAGGUCUCAAGCUGAUCAAGUACAGGAUGUCCUGGCAGAGAAAGAUAACAGCUGUGCAUGAAAAAAAAAAAAAGCAUCCCCCAAACACUUCCAUUUUGUCCCUACCUGGCCUGGCUGAGUGAAGGUGAGGAAGGAGAAAAUCUAGGUACAGUGAUAUGUGGACCACACUUUAAAAUAUAAAUCAAAACAGCAUGAGAUUUCUGCAGUUGUUGACCAAAUAUUUUGAUUGGCCCACUUGGCUGUUACAUGGAAGUCUAAAAACAAUUCGAAAUGUUUGUUUUGCAUCUGAUUUAAUUAGUUAUAGAUAUAUCAAAUUAGAAUUCCUGUAAAAAAAAUAAUCAGGAAGUAAAUAAAUCAAUGUUUAAUAGGGGAUGAAAUGGGCAGUAGGCAUGAGUAAUAAAGAAUACAGAAUUUUAUAUAAUAAAUGUUCCUUAUUGUUCCUUCAGUGAAAUAAAAAUACUGUUGUGACCUAAUGUAUGUGUAUAUUAGAUGGUGCAUCCAUACAAAAGUAGCAUGUACAGUAACUUUCACAAUUUAUUAUCUUCAACAUUUGGUAUGACAUCAGCCUUAUUACUGGAUCACUGUCUAGCAGGUCUUGUUGAGCUUAUUUGCCUGGUUAGGUUCCCAGUCAUCACUGGUUGCGUUAAAUCAGUGCUUGUUAAUUAUUUUCUCUUACGCCAGGAAGAAAAAAACAUUUCACACUUUUUUCAACUCUCCUCAGUGACUAUAAAUAGUGUCAUUUGUCUAUUAAAUUGUAAUGUAAUUAACGUGUUACCCGGGUCACGGACAGACCCCCCCCCCCCCCCUUCUCUGCCCCACUAUUGAGAGGCACUGCAUUGAAUGAUGACCUCCAGUUGGAAGAAGGCUUUGAAUACAUCUCCAGUGUCAUCUAGAAUACAUCAGUUCCUGAUAGGUUUGCUGUUUGUGAUCAUGUCAGUUGACAUUUCAUCUCAUAAAUACGUUCAGUUCAUUUUCCUGCUUAUUUUUCUGACUUUUGAUCAUUUCUUUUAAGAGUCCGAGGGCUCUGCCUUGGUGUCCUCGUGGAAAGCCUGGCUGGACACCUCUUGGAGCAGCUUCAUGUCAUCCCGCAGAGACAUAGCUAUUACAAAAGAGUUUGGUUUGAGAGUCAGACCGUAGGUAUAGCCCAGGUCGGGCGGCCUGGCCGGGUCUGUGCUCAAGUGGCACUGGUGAGCCAGAAGAGCUGUGAAGAGGAAGAUCUGAAACUUAGACAACUCCUCUCCAAUGCAGCGCCGCUUCCCCAGAGAGAAGAUGAGGACCGAGUUGCACAGGUCCUUGUUGAGAUCACCACAGGGGUGCAGGAAACGCUGGGGGUCGAAUUUCUCAGGCUGGGACCAGAUGGCGGGAUUGUGAUUGGAGGACCACUGGUUUACAAAAACGACUGUGUUCUUUGGUAUGCUGUAACCAUUGAUGGAGGUGUCUGUGGUGGUGUAGUGAGGGAUGGUGAGCGGCACGAAGCUGGUGAAACGCAUCACCUCGUAGAUGAAGGCCAUGACAUAAGGCAGCUCAGCCUGGUCCUCCAUGGAGGGGAGGCGGCUGCGGUCCACCACUUUGUCCACUUCUUCUCGGAGGCGCACCUGCAUCUCCGGGUACCUUUGAAUCCAUCGUGGAGAAAAGAUACAAAGUCAAAAUACAUCUGAUUUGGAAUUUGUUGACUCUCAAGCUGUGUUGAUUGUUUAAACACUUAUCAGUGAAGGUCAAGGAUGAGGUCAUUGGCAAAUAUGAUGUCACCACAUCAUCUUAAAACAUUUAACCCCGUCUCCCACUAAGCGGAGAACAAUUAUGGGUGUUUUUGAGGGCAGCGAUUGUUGCUGUCACCGAUGUAAUCGCCAACAUCACGUCUUUUGUCUGAAAUGAGGCAAUUACAUUUCCGACGCUAUCUGUCCCUCGUUUUUUUAGUUGGGAUCGGCACCAUUGGUCGCCACUUAUCCGCCCAAUCAAGAACAUCGAAUUUGUUAAGCUCAAAGGGAAACUUUUUUGGAUGAAGUCUUGGACAAUAUGAAGAUAUGUCACAGCAUUGCAUUUUAGAGUCGACGGUGGAGAUUUUUUGUUUUAUUUCUUAGAAGAAGAAAAAAAAAUUCAAACUGUCAAUAAUGGUAACACUGUCUAUUGUUAAAGACAUUUUGAGAGGUAAAACACUAAUUCAAAUUCGUACAACUUAAAAAUAUAAUUAUUGACAUUUUAGGUUAGAGUGGAGAAAUUGAAAUGUUUUAAAUUAUCUCAUCAUUUGAGUGACAAGUAGUUCUGUAAGCUCUUGUUUUUUUGAAAAUUCAGGACAGACAAUUUUCAAAAAUAUUUCGUUGAACUGCCCAACCUAAAAUUUUAAUUUUGAGUUCACUCAAAUUUUCAGUUGAGAUAUUUUAGAAUCACCCACCACCACCAUCCCUCGAAAUUCUUCCAUACUACAAUUGUGCGGUUUUUUUUUAAGUACCAAACAGAAAGGAAAUUGCCUUACUUGACGAGGAUGAUAAAGAUCCAGUGCAGCAUUGUUGACAGCGUGUCUUGACUUGCUCCAAAUAUAUCUACAAGAGUAGCUGGCACAUAGUCCUUAGCCGAUGGAUGGCCAGUUUUCUCAUUGAUUUUGUCCAUGGCCCCUAUCAAAGCAUCAGUCAUGUCCCUGAUGGAGCCCGACUGAAAAGUUUUCCUGUGCGCUGUCACCUUUUCAAGAAUAAACGCGCUGAACUCCCUGUUGAGCCUCUUGAAGUUGUCAAACAACGUUUUGAUGGGGUUGGGGAAGUACUGGAGCCAGGGCAUCACGUCCACGAUGCUUCCUGCGCCGACCGUCUCGGUGAACUGGCUGUUCCUGCCCACCAACUCGCGGAACUCCUCGUUGUCGUACGAGUACCUCUUCCCGAAGCACACUGCGCUCAUGAUGUUGGCCGUGGACACCACAAUACCCUCCAUGGGUGCGAAAAACUUCUGCUGCUCGGUGUUGCGCACGAAGAGCUGCACAAGCUCUUUAAAUUCACAGAGGAUGUGCCGCUCAAAUGUUUUCUUCGUCAUCUGAUUCCCUGUGGAGAACAUCCUCACAGUGGAAUGAGCCACCCUGCGCUGCACCUUCCACCUGUCCGAUGUGGUACUGAAGGCGAGCGCGUUGCCACCUGAGAUGUACUGGAACGAGGUGAAAUCAGGUCUGCCCGCAAAUGCCAAGCCUUGUUUAACCAACGCCUGCUUAAUGGAUUCCCUGUUCAGCACCACCACGCUCCGACAGCCCAGUUUGAUUUGGAAGACGUCGCCGUAUUUUUCUGCCAUGCGCAUGAAAUACAGGUGCGGCGCUUUGCCGAUUUGCGCUGCGUUGCCGAUGAUGGGCCAGGGGAACGGGCCCGGCAAGCGCGCAACCGAGCGCUUCUGGAACCAGCGACAUAUUUGGAAGGACAGCAAGAGGGUGAUACAAGUCACUAACAGGCUCGUCAUAUUCGCUCCGCCGCUCUCAUCCAGCCUCAGUGACAUCUUGACUCGUCCUGCAGGUGGGAGGACGAUAAUAAUUUGAAAGUGGUGUUAUUGAUAUGCGCUAGCACUGAAUUCAAUAUAUCUGGCUAAAAAAAAAAAAAAAAACAUUAAUGCAAAGCUUAAAUUUCUCUCUGUUUUCAACAUGUCAACGUGCAGCCUGUUGCAUGCCUGCUCUGGUCCCGACAUGGUGUGUGCAGGUUUUCUGAUUUUUUUUAUUUAGGUGUCGUGCAGAGGGUGUCACCCCAGCCUGCAAACAUCACCUCCUCCAACCCUCCCUUCCUGCAUGCUCUAACUCUACAUAUAGGCAGGUAACCGGCGUAAUAGGUCCCACCAGAGAGUUCAAACGCAAAAUGUCAUUUUCUUGUCAAAUUGAUGAUUGUAUUUAUAAUAUCUAAGAGCUGAAUGAAAUAAACUGUCUUGACAAAAAUAUAUUUGAUCAUAUAUGACUCAAGUCAGAGAGGUAUCAACAAAAUAAUAUGCUUUUAUUCUAGUUUAAUGCUGCGUCUAAUACUUUGCUUACCUUAUAUGUAGUAAAUCAAAUAUUUAACUAACUCUCUGAUUCGGGUGAUGAAGCCCAAUUAAAGGGAAUUUUGGAUGUGCUUUCCAAUUAAACCACCAGGAGGAAGCGGACCCUACGUUGUAAAGCAUUAAUAGCUAAUUAACAAUGACUGCACAAUACACGACGAGGCCCUGUGGCCAGAGCUGACUGGUCUCUGUUUUCCGACACAGCUUUGUAAUGUGAGUCAGUUUAAUUCAUGUUGUAUGUCGAUAUGAUGCGCAAUUUGUGUUUUCGUGAACUGCUGCUCAUGUCUGUUGGCCUAUGGUGGGAUUUGGGGACCCGCUUCAGCACCGCGGACAGCAGCUUGCAACACACUGAUAAAGGCGAGUGAACCCCACGAUUCAGCGAUGGAUACUAGCCUCGCUGGCUUUGGGAAAGUGGCCAGAAUCGGUCAACCUAGUUGCAGGGUAAACGUAUUUUAUGACAUACACGGUCACUUUCACAUCUAUGAACAAUUAUUUGUCGUCAGUGAAUUGAAAUAUAGCUGAUCAAACAAUUAUUAACUGGCUUCUGAGUUUAAAAUGAUCCAGUAAUUUGAUAAUAUAAAUGAUCAUUUAUUUAUUUAUUUAUUUAUUUAUUUAUUUAUUUAUUUAUUUAUUUAUUUAUUUAUUUAUUUAUUUAUUUAUUUAUUUAUUUGUUCACAGUCAUAAUGGCCCUCCGGAGGAAACCACAGAGAAAACACAAAAUUCAAACUUGAACAUUAGAACUGCGAGACAGAUGAGCUAACUGUAAUCCACCCCUACAAACUAUUAUUAUUAUUAUUGUUAUUAUUAUUAUUAUUAUUAUUGACCCCCUCUCAGAUAUAGAGAAAAAAUACAACCACUACAUUUUGAUAAUAAUAAUAAUAAUAAUAAUAAUAAUAAUAAUAGUGAUUUUCCCGUGUUAUCAAGAUGAAAACAUAUGCAACAUAAUUGUGCUAAAAUGAUCUUAAAUAGGCCUAAAAUGUCCAAAAUUCUGUCCAAAAGUAAGACCAUAAAAAUUUGGAGGAAAAGUCAAAACUAAACUUACCAAGCGUCCAGAUUUCUUCCCUUGAUGUCAAAUAAGUUGAGAUGCAAAAGCGGUGGUGCAUUUGUACUUCAAAAUAUAAAGGGUGGAGACAAACCAGUGUGUGGUGUGAAGCCAGCCUCCUUUGCCAAGUUCAUAAACUAAACCAUACAACGUCACCCUCACCUUUUUCUUUCAAAGAUUUGUUUGCAAAACUAAUCCUGCCUAUUCUCAUUUGUUUGGGUUCUUAUAAAUUAUAAAGAAACAUUAUUUAUCUUUAUACCUCUUCUAACCUCUUACUUUCUCUCUCUCAAUACCACCAGAUUUAUGUGUUGUCAGAAAACCAAGAUGGGAAGAACCUGGGAGAUGCCACCAUGGCUUCUACUUUGAUAUGACUCUUCUGCGGAUUAUGAAUUUCUGCAAUUCAGAAGUCAAGAGUGACAUCAGCACAGCUACAGGUGUGAGCUCGGGAGUUGGAGGCCGCUAAUGAGCCGCCAGAGAGAUCGUCUGAUCAUGUUGCCACAACAUUAUGUGAAUGUCAGUGCUCUUCAAUGUGGAGGUAGGGAUGGGGUCUUGGCAUAAUUGGACAAUCAAUGGGAAAAAGAAGCACAAGCGACAUGGGAGCAGUGGACCGCUGUUGUGAUAUUUAACGAUGAUGAUUUUUUUUUUACUAUUCUUAUUGGAGCUUCCACACGUCAAUCACAGCUGAAAAUUUUAACAGAUUCUUCAAAACAUCACAAAAAGGAUAACCAUAAAUUAAGCCAGCAUUCAAAACAUAAAUCGUACCAUAUUACAAAAAGAAGCAUAUUGAAAGUCGAUAUUUAAUUUAAAAAUAAUCAGGCAAAUGUUCUUCAGCUACACAAAAACAUCACACCUCUGUGCGAGUGUAGGUACAUCGUUGACCACAUUUCCUGUCUGGCCCGGUGACUUCAAUGGUCAGAAUGUUUAAGUUGAACUUUGGGUAGCAGUGCUGACAUGUCCAAUUGAAACGUAAUGUAUGAAGCUUCCCAUUCUUGGCCAGUUUUUGUGCGCUUGAAGGCACAAAGGCAGACAUGCUCUAAUAACCCAGACUGAAUUCUAAUUACAUCCUAGUGUCCCUUGCUUGUCCCAGGAUUGACAGCAUGACCCCAAACUGCUGGCUCUUCUGACAAUGAGAGCCUGUUAGAGAUGUUUGAUGGUAUAAUAUAGUCCAUGCACCAAAAGACUUAUGUCUUUGUGUUGGCUUGCGUUUGGAGUUAUAGAAUGGAGAUAUUUACAUUUACGCUAUUUCCACUUUCUGUGUAUACGUAGAAAACGUCUUUGCUAUUUUUAUAUAUUUGCUCAACAUACAAUGCCUUUACUUUGACGAGGAUUUAUGAAUGAAGAAAAGCAUUUCCAUUCAUAAAGAUGUGUGUGUGUUAUUCCCAACACGCCAGACUGUCUUUUGUAUGUGAUCUCCAUUCUUUGUAGUUUACAUUCCACUAAAGUAGGUAAUGGAUUGCGCUAAAAGACGCCAAACUGGACUGACGAGGUCGUAGUAGCAGAUGCACGCAAUGCCCUUUAAUUUCUAGUCUUUGCAUGCAAGCACCUUGUUGGGUUUUUUUUUUUAGCAAUUAGGGAAAACCUGUUUUCUAAAUGCUUUUAGACUGUGCACAAAAAACACGACUUCCUCUGCAGUCGGUGGCGCGAAUGAUUGUUCAGCGGUAAGAUGAGCUGUCGGAGAGCCAUUGUUACAUCACAAUCAUUGCAUGCAGCCGCUGUGCCACAUAACUAUGUUGCAUGUGUCUUCUCACGAAAGAUCAGGCGAGGGAGGGCCCUUGCAUGAUCUUCCGUGAGAAGGGAGCGUAUGCAGACGUAGCGCAAUAUCCAUAAAUGAUCUCUUAGAGGUGACGAUUGAGAGACUGUUGCAUCAGAUAACUGUUGAGCUUGUGCUCCUCACACCUUCUUGAAUUUGUCUACACUGUUUUUGCAUUAUUCACAUGUCCUGAAUGUUGUUAGUCACCUAAAUGUUGAACAGAGGGUGUGUUUCUACCGAAGUCAAAUUCCUUGUUUGGCACGCUCAAACAUGGCGAAUAAAAAAACUCUUGAACUCUUGAA